This 395-nucleotide ribosomal RNA is filed under the name uncultured bacterium. RNAcentral describes it as "bacterial SSU rRNA". It matches the Rfam family "Bacterial small subunit ribosomal RNA", at positions 505 to 898 of the family's 1533-position model. The record is from RNAcentral.
GUGUCAGCAGCCGCGGUAAUACGGAAGGGGCAAGCGUUGUUCGGAAUCAUUGGGCGUAAAGGGCGCGUAGGUGGUUCUGUAUGUCUACUGUGAAAGCAUACAGCUCAACUGUAUAGUGUCGGUAGAAACUGCAGGACUUGAGGCUGGGAGGGGCUGGUGGAAUUCCCUGUGUAGCGGUGAAAUGCGUAGAGAUGGGGGAGAACACUCGUGGCGAAGGCGGCCAGCUAGACCAGUUCUGACACUGAGGCGCGACAGCGUGGGGAGCAAACAGGAUUAGAUACCCUGGUAGUCCACGCUGUAAACGAUGGGCACUAGGUGCCGGCGGUCUUGAUCCCGUCGGUGCCGGCGCUAACGCAGUAAGUGCCCCGCCUGGGGAGUACGGUCGCAAGGCUGAA